Pan troglodytes (chimpanzee) is the source of this 1596-nucleotide long non-coding RNA. RefSeq lists it as uncharacterized. Lineage: Eukaryota; Metazoa; Chordata; Mammalia; Primates; Hominidae. The transcript is spliced from 5 exons. The record is from RefSeq and is a predicted model, not a curated record.
UAUACUACUGGUAGUCAUGUGCUCACUAUCUCUGCCUUACUCUUGAUUCCUGCCUCCAGUGAACCCAGGAUGAAGGAGUGUUUCAACUCAUCUGACUCAUUAUGCCUUCUUUGCCCUGGAUCUGUGCAUAUGAAAUGUUCACCAAGACAGACAAAUGUAGAUGGAUUUCAAACUUUUUGGGACAGAGCAAAAGCAGUGUUUGGAAGAGAAUGGACAAUUUUGUAUGGUUAUAUUAGAACCAAAGAAAUAAGCGAUAUAAACAUUAAAAGCUAAUCUCCAAGUAAUUAGAAGGAAAAAUAUAAUAAAGGGUUAUCUAGAGUUCCACUCAAAGACCACACAUCAGCUGAAUCAUAGUAACCCACCCAGUUUUUAUCACAAUUUUAUGAAUCUGAAAAAAAUCUCAAAGAAAUCAGAAUAAAAACUCUUCCGUUUCUGUUCUAAGAAAUCUUUGAGUGCCCUGGAGCAAGUGGAGCUACUCAUCCUUUACGUUCUUUAUAAAGUACACAGAAAUGCUCUCCAUACCUUGCCACUGCUGCUGGGAAGGAACAGGGGAGGAGUGACAUUGAGAUUCAAGACUAUUUUUCCUACCUCUUCAGUGCCUCUUUCAGCCAUAUGAAGUUAAAACCAGGGGAGAAGAGGAGAGUAAAAGUGAAGAAGAAAGAGGCAAAACAAGUGACUAGACCACAUGCUGAACAAGUUGUAGCUCUCAUUUACUUUUCAGAGAAUGUAAAAUGUUACAACUGCUUUGGAUAACAGUUUGGCAAUUUCUUUAAAAGUUAAGCAUAUAUAUAUAUAUAUAAUCAUAUAAUCUAGCCAUUUCACACAUCAGAAUUUACCCUCAUCCCCAAAUAAAAGCACAAAGAUGUGAAUGCCCAUAGCAGCUGCAUGUGUAAUAACUCAAAACUAUAAAAAACUCAAACACUCAUCAACAGUGAAUAAUUAAACAAAUUGUUUACAGUGAGAAAUUGCAAAAACAUUAUCAGUUGAAAGGAAUGAGCUACUGGUAGCAGCAACAAGGUACACAAAUCUAGAAAUAAUUAUGCUGAGGAAGAGAAGCCAGAAAAAUAUAAUAUAUAUUAUAUUAUCUCAUAUAUAUUAAAGAAUAGAGAAUGCAAACUAAUCUAUAGUGACAGAAAACAAAUCAGUGGCAAUCUGGGAAUGAGGGUAAGGGGUAAGAGGAAGGGAUUAAAAUGGGGCAUGAGUAAAAUUUUGGAAGUGAUAAGUAUAUUUAUUAUCUUGACUGGUUAUGGUUUUACAGAUACAUACUUAACGGUGAAAAUUGGCAGAUUGUACAUUUUAAUAUGCAUAGUUUAUGAAAUGUCAAUUAUAUCUCAAUAAAUAUUAAGAUUAUAUAAGAAUAAUCUAGAGAAAUAAAACAUUUUUUAAAAAAUUAUAGUAAGAGUUGUUCUCUAACCAUUGUAGUUAAUCAGUUUUACUAAAGAAUAACCACAUAUAAAACCUUGUUCCCUUAUUUACAGAAAGUUUCUCCCGUACAGUUUGUACACUGUCUAUUCAUGUGAGCUAAUGCUUUAAAAAUUAACAUGUUAAUUUUCCUAUAUUAUAUGAACCUAGUGUUUUAUCCCAAUAAAUUAAUCA